GGUGGAGCAAAACUCAAAAAAUGAUCUCAGUUCGGACUGUAGGCUGCAACUCGCCUACACGAAGUUGGAAUUGCUAGUAAUCGUGGAUCAGCAUGCCACGGUGAAUACGUUCCCGGGUCUUGUACACACCGCCCGUCACACCAUGGGAGCUGGUAACACCCGAAGUCAGUAGUCUAACCGCAAGGAGGACGCUGCCGAAGGUGGGAUUAGCGACUGGGGUGAAGUCGUAACAAGGUAAC
This 239-nucleotide ribosomal RNA is filed under the name uncultured bacterium. RNAcentral's name for it is "partial 16S ribosomal RNA". It matches the Rfam family "Bacterial small subunit ribosomal RNA", at positions 1261 to 1500 of the family's 1533-position model. The record is from RNAcentral.